Molecule: long non-coding RNA, 517 nt
Filed under: Hordeum vulgare
Lineage: Eukaryota; Viridiplantae; Streptophyta; Magnoliopsida; Poales; Poaceae
Description: long non-coding RNA (HVUL_LNC011681)
Source: RNAcentral
CAGCCCGCUCAAUGGAAAUGGCUUCUGAUUUUCAUCGUUUGUCAUAGGAAGCAUGGCCUGCAGGGAAGCGCUUGGCAUGUAAUCACCCAGGAACGGAACAAGAAUAAUGCAAGAAAUGGAAAUAUUCCACAGUAGUAAUCUGCCAGCACAUAGUUCGUGCUUAUGUUAGGAGAUGGUGUGCCAUACGCAAAACAAAACAACGUAGACGAGACGCAUCCUUCGUGAUUAGAAGAUUAAUUAAAAUAUAAGACAGAGCCGCAAUGGUUACUGAUGGGAAGAAUGACUGGGAACCAUAAUGAACAAAGAUCGAUUAGGGUUCCAACCAGAGGGGGGAGGAGUGGGAGAAGGGAGAGCAGGCAUACUGACCUCAGUCGCCUCGGGCACGGCGGCAGUCUCCAUCGCUAGUGGUGGCGGAGGCGGCGAAGCGAGGGUUUGGGGAACGUCGGCCGUGAGUGCACCCGCUUCGCUUCUGCUCAACGACCUGGGCCUAUACGGGCCGGCUGUGAGUGAACGUCGG